This 82-nucleotide transfer RNA is filed under the name Pythium insidiosum. RNAcentral's name for it is "tRNA-Gln". It matches the Rfam family "tRNA". From Rfam's summary of the family: Transfer RNA (tRNA) molecules are approximately 80 nucleotides in length. Their secondary structure includes four short double-helical elements and three loops (D, anti-codon, and T loops). The record is from RNAcentral. Lineage: Eukaryota; Oomycota; Peronosporomycetes; Pythiales; Pythiaceae.
GACAGCUUGGCCGAGUGGUUAAGGCGAUGGACCUUGAAAUCCAUUGGGGUAACCUGCGUGAGUUCAAAUCUCACAGCUGUCG